Molecule: transfer RNA, 73 nt
Filed under: Myxococcales bacterium
Lineage: Bacteria; Pseudomonadati; Myxococcota; Myxococcia; Myxococcales
Description: tRNA-Asp
Rfam family: tRNA
About the family: Transfer RNA (tRNA) molecules are approximately 80 nucleotides in length. Their secondary structure includes four short double-helical elements and three loops (D, anti-codon, and T loops).
Source: RNAcentral
UUGCAGAUCGCUCAGUUGGUAGAGCGUUCGACUGUCAAUCGAAAGGUCGCCGGUUCGAGUCCGGCUCCGCAAA